UCCAUGGAAGACAAUUUUGGCUUACUGCCCCUUUUCUGUGUAGCAUGUGACACAAACUGAUCAAAUUGCAGUGAUCAUAUGAAUCUUGAGUCCUGACAAAAUCAGUUUAUUUUUAUCUUCAUUUAGAUGAUUGUUGUUUUUUAUAUGUACUUCUUUUUGGAUAUGUAAGCAGGAACCGUUCUUGCAACAGUGUAGAUAGCGCCAUUCUGGCUGUGGACGGCGAAAAUCCUGAUCUGGGAAAGGGCGUUGAAGGUGUAUGAAGAUUGGCUGAUGUGAAUAUGUUCUGAGAAGAAAGCAGUCCUGGGAUCCAAGAAAGGCCUGAGAAAGGGUUUCUAGUUAUGUGGACUGCAGUUAUCUCUUACCUCCAUGCAAACAAACUUCAUAUUCUCUCUUAUUUCUGUUGGCAAACUGAAUAUUGGUACCUCUAUUAUUUCUAUUUCUGGGUACUGAUUGCUUUUUCUUUUCUUUCUUUAUGUUGUUAUUGUACAGUUGAUGAUCAUGAUCAACAUAAAUCUGUCUCAAGAAAUGGAAAAGGCCUUAAUAGAAAAUUUGUUCCAGGAAAUUUUGUCAUCAAAUCCUUCCUCAUAAAAGGUGUACACACAGUUUCAUGCAGUCUGAUGAAUCCCUUCACUUUUUGCAAAAGUAGCUGUGAUUGGAAUAGAAAUGUCGAUCGUAUUUCUAUUUUUUCGCUUCAGGAAAAAGCUGUCAUUGAAACUGAUUACCUUCCGAAGGAAGAGAAUUAAUGAACAUCCGAAACACAAGACCGGACCUAUGAAACUCCACUUACAUGCUAGCUCUGUAAUUCAAUGAUGUUGCAUCAAAUUGCCUUGUUCAAGUACCAUAAUAUCUUAAGACUUAAUGCCAA
Molecule: long non-coding RNA, 865 nt
Organism: Mangifera indica (mango)
Lineage: Eukaryota; Viridiplantae; Streptophyta; Magnoliopsida; Sapindales; Anacardiaceae
Exons: 2
Source: RefSeq, a predicted model, not a curated record